GAUGAACGCUGGCGGCGAGCCUAAUACAUGCAAGUCGAACGCUGGAAAUCUAGCUUGCUAGAUUGAAGGAGUGGCGAACGGGUGAGUAAUACAUAAGCAACCUACCCACGAAGACUGGGAUAAUCUCUGGAAACGGGGACUAAUACCGGAUAGGUAAUCGGAAGGCAUCUUCUGAUUAUUAAAGGUUAAAAACACUGGUGGAUGGGCUUAUGGCGCAUUAGUUAGUUGGUGAGGUAACGGCCCACCAAGACGAUGAUGCGUAGCCGGCCUGAGAGGGUGAACGGCCACAUUGGGACUGAGACACGGCCCAGACUCCUACGGGAGGCAGCAGUAGGGAAUUUUCGGCAAUGGGGGAAACCCUGACCGAGCAACGCCGCGUGAGUGAUGACGGCCUUCGGGUUGUAAAGCUCUGUUGUAAGGGAAGAACGGUAGAUAGAGAAUAUCUAAAUGACGGUACCUUACCAGAAAGCCACGGCUAACUACGUG
RNAcentral lists this ribosomal RNA (486 nucleotides) under uncultured bacterium. Its description in RNAcentral is "partial 16S ribosomal RNA". It matches the Rfam family "Bacterial small subunit ribosomal RNA", at positions 28 to 507 of the family's 1533-position model. The record is from RNAcentral.